AGCUACCUGCCUGAACUCUUCUACUCCAGGAUUUAUAAAUGCCUCUCCUCUAAAAUCAUCUUCUUACUUUAAGUCUUCAGCAUCUCAAGACUGUCUUGAACACCUAUUGUCACUUUCGGACUUAAAAUCUCAACCAUCAAAGCACGUGGCAGGCGACGCUCGUCCUUUGUGGGAAUGCGCACACAGCAAAGCCUCACUGUCUGAACCUUGGCAUUUUACACAAGAAAAAUAUCCAAGUAGCUCAUGGGACUCAAGGCCCUAAGAAGGCAGGGAGAGACAUACUCGCACACGUUUCCUGAGAAACGGAGCCGCAAUGUGACGGCGGAGCUCCAGUAAGAACCUUCUCGUGCACCCAGCUUCUCUUCCACAAAUGUAAACCCUAAAUCACCUCAGAAAAUGUUCUACCACACUUGA
Molecule: long non-coding RNA, 414 nt
Organism: Artibeus jamaicensis (Jamaican fruit-eating bat)
Lineage: Eukaryota; Metazoa; Chordata; Mammalia; Chiroptera; Phyllostomidae
Exons: 3
Source: RefSeq, a predicted model, not a curated record